This 26-nucleotide non-coding RNA is filed under the name Homo sapiens (human). The record is from RNAcentral. Lineage: Eukaryota; Metazoa; Chordata; Mammalia; Primates; Hominidae.
UAAUAGCAAGGCAUAGAGGACAGGGC